AAGGAGAGUGACAAGAUGGGGUUGAGGCCAACAACGACAACGAAUUCGAAGGAGUGACGGUAGGAGGAGCUAAUCCGAAGCUUGAUGCAGUGCUUGAUGAAUGGGUUGGACGUGCUUGUUAUCCUUGAGGGCUACCCCAGGAAGGAAAGAGGAGACAAAGACCAGGAUGAGACUAGUUUCGUGUCCUCUUCCUGCUGGAAAGGACACGAAACUGCAAGUCGGACACCAUCAACAUCAUAGCCACCGUCUUCUCUUCUUGCUCUCCUUUGGAUGACACGACAGAAGUAACACCAGCUGUAGUCAUUGGGUUGGGCCAAAUAAGGUCCAUAUGUGGUUCGGCCUUGUUCUGAACCAUCUUCAAAUUAAUUAAUUUGCACAUGUCAUGUCUACAAAGCAUAGUAAUCACCUAUCCAUCUGGUCAAAUCUCAAAUCAAUCGAUCAAGUAUACGUAUAACUGUAUGAUAGGCUAGAAAUAUAUCACAUAUGGAUAAUAUUAUAUAAAUAACUUUUAUAAUGUGAAAGAGGACAAUAAGACAUGUUGAGGUGAUGACAGAGUCUAAAAGGUUUUCUUCUCUUUCAUCCUUACAAUAAAAUAAAAGACUCAAAUGCUUUAAAAAAAUCAUAUAUUUCUUAUAAUAAAUUAGACUAAGAUUCAAAUGAAUUAAUUAGUGAACCAGGCCAAUUGAUGUUUUGAUUCUCAGUUUAAACCAUCCAAGUGAUUGGUUUGAUCCGGAUUUUAUAACUGUUAUAGAUGCACAUCUUGAAAAAUAACAAUUUUUCAUUGUUCAUUUAAUUUAUUUGAUCUGAACCAAAAAUAAAAAAAUCCCUUGUUUGGCAACAGAAAUUUAAGCAAAACCUACACUACUCAAAAGGCUUAAAGGGCAUGUGGAUUAGUGUCCCCAGCAAUUGCGUGACACAUUUAUCACACAAUACAAAGCUCAUCACCUAGUUGUGGAGAGUAGGCCACGGAGAGAAUACUUAAGUCGAGAAUUGCAUGUGCAGAUUGAACAAAUAUUUUAAUAGCAAGUGUUUUACUAGGAAACUAAGUGCCAAGAUAUAAUGAAAGCAGCAACAUGUCAUAUCAAUAAUAAUUAUCUUAAAGGAACUCUUUGGGAUGGAUAUGAUCACCUGACUGUGUUUGCCAUGCCACCUGGAUCACUCAGAAAGAAGUUGACUUUGGAGGUAAAACAUGAAUUAUAUCCCUAGAAAUGGAUAUGAUGUCCAGGACGUAACGCCAUGUCUAUCUGCAAACAAGCUGACAUGAUAGCAAAACAUUAUACAAAUUUCCCCAAGGUCAACUAAACUCCACCACUACAAAUUAAAGAGAGUAUUGUUGCUCAAUUCAAGCCAGCCUUCGUCACACCUUAACCCAAUAUCCGAAGGUUAUCAAUUGGUAGGCUUAACUAUUGUACUGGUUAAUCACAAAUACCAAGAGUUUAAGCUUUUAGAAAAGGACCCUCUUCAGCAUCUCUUCUCAAGAGCAAACCAGUUAGGUUUGACGUGUGAAUGAAACCCAAAUGUUAUACUUGUGCAAGUCCAAAUAAUGUUUGAAUUACCUACUCUAUAUUUUUAAUUGAACACAGGAAAAGAGAGGACAGAUACAGGAUUCAAACUCAUGAUCUACUCUAAUUCUAUCUUCACGUUUGAAUUGUGUAAUCAUAAAUUUAAAAAUCUUAAAUUUUAGGAAAGAAAAGAAUCCAAUAUAUGCUUUAAGAUCCUGACAACAUUUACAAGUAGGUGAGCAUGCAAGAAACCGUUCAAUACUUACCAGACUUGCAAGCAUGCAAUCCACACUCUUGCUAGAUAAAGAGGCUAACAUUUACAAGAAGGUAAGCAUGAAUAAAAGAGAAUAAGAUGAUGCAUUUAUUAAUAACGUACAAGAUUAUUCUACCAGAGACCAUAUUGUUCUUUUUGGUUUGUGUGCUGCAAAAGCAAGAGAAGCAAAUCCACACUCUUGCUAGGUAAAGAUGCUAACAUUUACAAGCAGGUGAGCAUGGAUAAAAGAGAAUAUGAUGAUGCUUUUAUUAAUAACGUACAGGAUUAUUCUACCAGAGACCAUAUUGUUCUUUUUGGUUUGUGUGCUGCAAAAGCAAGAGAAGCAAAUGCACCAUAGCAGUGACAGUGUGCAGAGGAGGAAUAAAGGAAUAAUGUGUUCAUGAUUUAUGAAAUGUAGGCAUUGCAAGUGAGGUCCCUUGCCAAAUGAAUAGCAAAUGUAUCAUCAUGUUUAUGAUAAUGAUGAUGGCAAAAGUUUCAGGAGACAGGGCAGAGAGGCUCACUUAGCAGCAUCAUUGGAAGCAUCAACAGAUUCCUACUUGCAGAAGGUGGUGAAGGUGAGAAGAAAGCUAUUAUUGUAGAUCAAGUGAUGGUCAAACAUGUAGAACUCAGACCAGAAGAUAAGCAUAUACAAAAUAAGAUUCAAAAACCCAAUUCACAACGAAGCGCGUCACAAUGAUUGAUCAGCCAUUAAUCCAACGCAAACAUGAACCGCGUUUAAGAAACUUACAGGGUUUAUAACAUCGAUCCAAUAUUUGGACUUCGACUCCACAAGCUCUCCUCCGAUGAGAUUCCGGACCUUCUGUUGCAAAUUCCUCAUCAAGUCAAUCCUUGAAUUUUAGAAAAGACGAGAUGUUUCGCCGAUAGAAUCAAAUAGAACAAUCAAAGGCAUCGAUUAGUACAAAGAUGCAGAGAACUACCAGAUGAGUGGCGUGGAUCGGCGAUUUUCGGAGGCAGUGGGAAUCGAAGGACCCCGAGGCCGGAGACCGCCGUGAAGCCUGCCGCUGCAAAGGAAGGGGAGGAUAGAAUGCGUCAGAGAGAAGACCGGGGAGGAGAGGGAUCGGUAAUCAAUGGCGCAUGGAAUUAGGGUUUCGGGAAAAGGGGGAAGAGAAGAGGAUCGGGGGGUCAUUACCUCCGCGAACAGAAGAGCGCAGCCUACUUGAAGAAAGACGACGUCGAGCGUCUAAGCUUUACCCGACAACCGACGAGCCUUAAUGAUGCCAUCUCCACUGGGAGUGAGCAAUCCCAAACGGAUAGGAGAACUAUUGCCUUGAAGGAGGAGCUCACUGGCCAAGUGCCUUGUGACUUAGAGAGAGCCAUGGGACCCGCUGUUGCCUCCAUUCACGAGGCUGGUUGUUCGACGAGUAACUUCGAACGAUGUGUUCUUGUUUCAGCUAAUUACAGAGAUUAGUUAGUGUAAUUAAUUAUUUUUAAUAUUUCUAUUCCUAUCUUUUUAAAAAUUAUAUUAAAUUUUUUAUUUUUAUAAAAAUAAAAUAUUUAACUUCGUUUCUUUUUACACUGUCGACUAAAAAUACCGAGAUAAUUUAAAAAUAUAAGAAUCGAGAUGUUAAAAAUAUCCAACUUUAGGUUUCUUGCGUAUACCUUUGAGAUCCACACCAAGACUGAUGGGUGAUGGUAUUUCAAGUCGAUUCAUGAUCACAGUAUAAUCCUGCAAAAAUCCAGCUUCCAAAGAUAUUUAAACUCAGAAAGACAUUAAUCCGAUCCCAAAAAAUAGUUUCUUAGCAUUUCUGAAGUCAUCUUGUAACACCCAUAAUUUAAUGAUUUAUCCUCAACAAGAAUCAUGUUAAUAUAUCAGUCACCUUAUCGAUCGUGCAAGACACAAUGUAAUGAUUUAUGCUCAUCAAACACCAAGUUAAUAUAUCAGUGGAUCGCGAUACAUUCACCUGAUUGGCAUGAGGUACAAUGGACAACAUGAUUCCCUUCUUUCUCAGGUGGCAGAUUAGUCCCUCAACUCAAAAUCAUACACAGCUUUUGAUGCAUGUUCACAUUCUUUCAUCGAGAAAGCUUCCGAGAAAAGAGAUAUUGAUAGUAAAUAGCAGACAGAUAAACAAAGGAAUUCAGCUGUUCUGCUCUCAGUACCUACUACAUAAAUAGAGAGAGCCAGGGCUGCAUCCACAUUUCCAAUGGAAACCAAAACACGAGAACAAACAGAAGAGCGGUCAAGAAAAUUCGAGGAACAAUCAAUACUACUCAUGAAUUUCUCCUCCAAUCGUAAAGCUUCUGAUGCUUGAUCUAGCUACUCACUGCAUGAGAAGCCAAUAGGACUCAUCGGUCAUCUCAUAGGAAUACUCAUAUCCGAGAUCCUGAGCUUGAUGCUUAAAUUCUUGCAUGUCCUCCUUCGGCACUUGGAUGCCUACUAAGACAUUUGCACCAGUCUCACCCUAUCAAAAAUCAGACAAUAAACAUAUGUCACCUCACCAUCUUUGAUGAGCAUCUAAUGGAACUCAGAUGGAACUUCCAUCACGGGAGGUGAGACUGUUUAAUCAUCUUUCGCAUGUCUUCUGUUUGUUUCAGAGUUUAGUGGAAUAAAUCUUGUAUAGGUUAUUGUUCACUAAUUCCCUCAAAAAAUAAAAAGAAAAUAUCCUUGCAUUCUUGCAUAUAUAAAGUUUCCUUUGUGGUAUAUUCAAGGAAUGGUAGCAAAUAAGGAAUAAUCUGGUGAUCAACGUAAAGAAGAAGAGGAAAAGUACUAAACCUGCGCUCGAUAAUGGAACAGGGUAAUAUUCCAACAUGGACUAAAGGCAUCCAAGAAUUUCAUAAGAGCACCUGGCCUCUCUGGGAAGAUAAAUCUGCAAAGUAGUUCAUCUUGGACAUUGGACCAGCCUCCCAUCUGUAUACGUAAUGAAUACCAGUUCAAGAGUUGAUACCAUUACACAGUAUGAAUCUUUCAUAAAACCAUACAUGUAUGUUAAAUACAAGAUUACAUGAUGAGUCAGUUAAUAAGUUGGGAACAAAGAGUCGACUAAUUGUACAAAUAAAUAUAAAAAGGUAAAAUUCCACACACACACACACAUAUAUAUAUUGAAGAAAUGAAUAGAAGCAGACUGCUCUGUCAUCUAUUUGCAUAAUGAAUAUUAAUUUGGAACCGUCAAAAAUGUGUUAGUCUUUAAAGUUUAAACACUAAUCUAACUGGCAAGUCUGUGAUAAAUGAUUAACCCAAACCUACUGAUAUGAUAUAACCCAGAGGCAUAUCAAAAGUAGCAAAUGUAAAUUUUGGAUAGCAAUGGCAACCAUAUAUGACUACACCACUUACAGCAAACCAUUGUCAAUAUCGGUAACUUGCUGAAUUGCCCUUUUGGCAAGCAGGCAUGGCAAACAGUAUCCAGCUAUUUAAAUAUCACAUGCUACCUAUGUUCACUUCAAUGCCUAGUGCUUUGAGUAACUGAAGAAGAAAAAGAAUAAAAAAUAAAUGGAAAUAAUGUGAUGCUUUUAUUGCAGUGAUUUAAAAAGUAUUAGGCGCCAAAAGGCACCAAGGUCUUAAAAUGCUCGAGGCACUAGGUGCUCACCCGAACAAAACGAGACGUUCUGAAAUAUUAAAAUAUAAAUAAUAUAUAAUAUAAUUGAUAAAUAGAGAUUAACAGUGCUAAAAUCUAAAUAGAGACUAUUAUAUGAUAAUAGUAGUUAACAAUCUACUGUUAACAGUAUUUAAUCUACUGUUAGCAGUAGCCAGACGGGAGAAAAGAGUCACCGACGAUGAAAAGUAGGGAAGAAGAGCGAUGGUGACGGAGGAACUUUCGGACAACGAUACCGACGACCGAGGAAGCUCCGGACAGCAAUAGCAACGGCGGAAAAAGCUUUGGAUGAUGACAGCAGAAGUUACGGACGGUGACGUCGUGGGCAGAGGAAGCUUCAAAUGUGUCCGUCGGUGGCGAAGGAAGCUGCGGUCCUCUCCGUCAAUGGUGGAAGUAGCUACACACGGAAGCAACGAUGACAGAGGGAAUUGCGCAUGAAAGCUACACCUUUGGACUUGUUCGUUAGCGGCAGAGGAAGCGUCGGUCCUGUGCAUCGACGAUGAAGGCAAUGAAAGAGAUACGGCGGAGGCAGAGGUUGUGCCAGGGUUGCUCGAGGUCAUGCGGGGGCGCGGGGCAAGUGGUGGGUUUGCAAGUAACUUUAUGUAGCUUAGUUGGUUCAAUCAAACCGAUUAGCUACUAUUCAAUCGAACCGUAGACGGUAGGGUUCAUCAUGGUUUCAGCCAGGUGCUCGCUCGAGGCGCCCAACGCCUGGGUUCAGGCAAGUAGCCAGGUGGUGCUCCACUGAAGCGCAUCGCUUGGCGAAUUUGUGAGGCGCUCAGUUCUUGCCUCGCCUCACCCAAGUGCCCGAGUGCCUAUUUAAACCCCCAUUUUAUUGUCUCAAUUUGUUGGGUCUUAGGGAAGAAUAUGCUUUCCAAGUUCUAAGUAAAGGACAGACCCAUUCACUGAAUGGUUGUUCUCUUAGAAAUGAAAUAUUUUAUGGCAACUACUGUAGUUAUUUAACAAGUUCCUUUGUUAUCGAACUUAUUCUAUCCGAUGUCUGUCUCCUUCCCCCUCUAUGCCUCCCCCUUUCUUUUUUUAUUUUUUUUGUAUCACAUAAUUCAUACACUUUAUAAACUAAGUUUGAUAGUCUUCCUGUCUUUUGGCUCAGAAUAGAAAAGGCAAAAGAAAACUCCACAUUCAAUUAUUUAUUAUUUUGGAAGUAUGUAACAUCAGCCUUGGAUAAUAGGGUAACAAUUGCCAAGUAUAUUAAGUUAUCAAAAACCAAGUGACUUACAAAAUAUCUGAGAUGAUCCUUUGCCAAGUCAUCAUUAGUAAGAUUGAUAGUUCGAAGUUGUGCAGAUUUCAUUCGGUUCACCAUGGCUCCUAGUUCAGUGUCAGUAUGAAGUCCCACACUGCAAUAACAAAGACCAAAUGACUUUAACAAGAGAGCAAAACCUUUUACCACCACAUAAAGUGCAAGACUGCAUUUAGAAUCAGAUAUUCAAGGAAUGAAAAAGUGAAUUUCAACCAAUAGAUCAACAGUAUUGUGCAUUUUUUACUGGAUUAAAAACCUACUGAUGGUUUUUCUAGAUCUAAUAUCAAAUGAGCAUCUUACUUGCCUGUAAAGAACAAGAGCAUCUUCUCUACGUGAAUCAUAUCUGUAUUUGAACUCUGUAAUAUUCAUGGAGCCUACCUGCAAGGCUCUCCUAUGUCUAGAAUUAAAAAGUCAAACACUAAAAAUAAAGUAGAUUAACAUAAUGUUUGCAAAGUACCAGUUUACAGAAUGUCUUAAAACUCCCAUGCUCCUCUGGUAGAAUAGUUGCAAGUACAGCCUCUCGUUUCCGACCAACAUCAGCAAGUUCAGUUACCAACCUCAGCCUAUCAAAGUUCAUGUUUGCUCCACUGGUUAUUGCAACAACAUUUGUACCUUUCAAACCAUAGUAUUUGCAGUAUGCUUCUGCACCAGCAAGAGAGAGAGCACCAGCUGGUUCUAGAAUGCUCCUUUUCUCCUCAAACAUGUCCUGUAUUUGAAUGUAAAAUCUUUUAGUGAUCCAACAUCAAUUAUUUUGAAAUUAUACAUUAGUUGCAAGACAACCAAAAUUUAACUAGUGGGCAAAAGCUAAUGUUCAUAAUGAUAGAAAGUUGGAAACAACUUGAAGAAGAACAACACAAGAAAUCGCUUCAGUACACAUGUUUGAAUGGUGUCUUUAUUAAUGGUCAAAGCUUGUUUAAUGUCAACCUUCCUAACAGCCAGAGACUCGAGAAUCAGAAACAGGGUUUAAGUAUAUUCACUGACAAUAUACAAUUGUAAACAAUACAUACCUUAAUAGAUGCACAAAUAGCAUCACGACUGACGAGAACCACACCGUCAACAAGUUCCCUGCACAAACGAAAUGUCUCUUCUCCUACUACUUUUACAGCAACACCAUCUGCAAAUCCACCUACAUGCUCUACCAUGAUCCUCUGCCCAUGAUGCAAAGACAGUGCCAUUGCAUUUGCAUCAGAGGGUUCAACUCCAAUGAUCUUCACCUGUAGAAAAAAAAAGUGAUCAAUUCCUCUGACCCUUUUUUUUCUCAGCUUUAUUUAGUUGAAUGGUACAGUAACAGAUUUGAAAUUGAAUUUUCAGUGUUAUAAUGAAAGCAAGUUUAACUACAUGAACCUAAUAAUGCAAUUUUGGUUUCACUAGAACAGGAACAGGAGCUCUCAAAAUGAUAGAUAAAAAUAUUACUAAAAUAUCAAGUAAUACUGUAAAAGUAUAUUAAAAUUGCUUCACAAUGGAACUUAUUAAUGAGGACCCAUCCUUGAAGAAAUUUUCCUUGCAUUAGUCUGGCUUCUUUCAAGCGUAUAAGACCACUUAGAGGAUAAGAGUUGUAGGUCUUCUGUUUAAUGGGAUUUUGCAGGCUGAUGAGAUUUGCUUUCCUCCCACAUCUCCAAGACACAUUAAAACUCACAAACCCAAGCGAAUAUGCUCGGAGACUUAUUGUUUGUGUUAUCCAGUUAUUUUAGUGGGGUUCCAAUGGCGAUCUUUCUUCUCUCUUAUUUUCCUAAAGGUCUUUAUAUUCUUUGAGUACAUGAAAAACCCAAUUGGUGGGUCAUAUCCUAAUAAUACACUGACCAUAAGAAACCAAGACUUUAAAAGCAAUAUAUUACUUGUUAACAGUUCUAGAUUUACCAACUAAAAUCAAUUUAUGAACUUUGGUCAAUAAAAUUUAGAACUGAAUGUUCCAAUCAUACAAGGACGUUGAAGUAGCAAAGUAUAAUAUAAACAUGUCCCAACAAUAUAUUGCUUUACAACAUUAAACCAAUAAGGGGUAUUUAAUAAUGUGCAUUUAUCUAAACCUUUGUUACAAAUAUUAUAAAACGAGUUAUAGGCUUAGAAGAUAUAAAGAUACUAUCGUAAUGGACAAACCUCUGGGCAGACUCGUUUUACAUAAGCAGCAAUUCCUGCUAUUAGUCCACCACCUCCUACAGGAACAAAUAUUGCAUGCAAUGGACCUGUCAACUGGCGAAUAAUUUCCAUUCCAAUGGUUCCUUGACCUGUAAUAACAUCAGGAUGAUCAAAGGGGUGUAUGAAUGUGUGGCCUUCCUGCUCAGCACACUGCUUAGCAUAUGUCUGCGCUUCAUCAUACGAAUCUCCCUUAAGGACAACCGUCGCACCUAAUCUCUCAACAGAACGCCACUACAAAUAAAAAAUGGAAAAUAAGUGAGAUGGGACAACAAUUGAAACCAAAAAACGACAACCAGAUGUUAAUUUUCUAUUCCAUGAAUUCCCAUCAUAGAAGAAAGUAAACGAUGGUGUUUAGUUGAUUCAGACACCUUAAUUUCUGGUGUCGUAACCGGCAUUACAAUCACAGCAUCACAGUGUAACUUCUGAGCAGCUAAUGCGACCCCUUGUGCAUGAUUUCCAGCAGAAGAGCAUAUAACACCCUUAUCCAACUGCUUUCGUGAAAGCUUAACCAUCAUAUUGUAAGCUCCUCGUAGCUUAAAUGAGAAUACCUGUAAAGCGAGUCCAACCAUCAUUCCAAGAAAUAAAACUACUGGUGGCAAUUUAUUGUGCCGAAAACACUUUCCCCUUUGAUCCAAAGACCAAAAAGAAAAUCUAAUUUUUGGAUUUCUUUAACAAAAAGUUGCAGACUCCUUUUUCUGCUGAAUCAAUAGUUCGACAAACCCACUGUUUUCCUCAUGGAGAAGAAAGAAGCUUCCUGUCCAUCUUGCUCGAACCACGUGACUUAAUAGUACCAGAACUGGAAUCAACAAAAGAGAGGAAAAGAGGAAGAAUUGAAAGUGUAAGCGAAGAAAAAUUGCCUAAUAUAUGAGACUUAAGAAAGUGUAGCAAUCCACAUUUGCCAAAGCAGUAGUAAGGACGCAAGGAAAUGAAGGUGGAGAUAUAAAGUUGAGAAUAGAAACCAGACGGAGCAACACCAUACAUUCUUACUGGAUAAAAAAGGCUUGAAAUUCCAUUUAAACAAGCAAUAAUAGCCAAAAGGAAACAAAGAUGGCAUUCUUUUUCCAGCAGCAACAGAUGGAAUAGAAAUCAUUACCGGUUGCAAGUCCUCUCGCUUGAGCCAGAGAUUGACCCCGAGCCUCUCCGACAGCUUCGGCGCCAGCUGCAGCGGGGACUCGAUCGCCACGUCGUAAACCCUCGAGGAUAGCACGUUGGUCAAGUACUCCAUCGGGGUGAGCGCCCCGUUCGGGCGCUCCUCCCCCACGGCUGGCCGUGUCCUUUCGGUGAUCGCCCCAAGAACGCCGCUUUCGUACUGCAAGGAGUCCACCGAUACCCUCGCGAGGGGGGUCGCGACGGUGUAGGUGGCGCCCGCCUCUCGCUGCGUCGUGACUGCGGAGGCCACCAGGGUUGGCAGCCUUGCGCCGCUGCCGCCGAUGGACGUGGGGCGGAAGCGUUGGGGAGAGAAGGCCGUCCUCGGCGCUGCAGCUGCAGCCGCUGCCGCGCGAGCGGGGAUGGGCGGGAGGGGGCGGCGGGCGACGGCCUGGGACUCCAUCGUGGACGGGGCGGAGAGGCGAGGCGCGGCGAGGGAGAAGAUUCACGAGUGUCACAUUUUAAUAGCACUCGGUCACAAACAAUUACAUGUUACCCGAUCCGCAUGCCCGCAUUUCCAAUCCGGGAACAUCACGUGGGGACCACUUUUUAGCACGACAAAUAUCUGACUCGGGUGACCACGAAUCACGCACAAGAUCAAAACUUGUAUGCAUAUUUACACAUAUUUACGCGAGUGAUCAGCGGAUUCCGCGGAAGAGCAUACCGGAAGAAAUCAUUUAACUUCAUAACAUCCACCGUACAUUGUCAGAUCAAUGGUUGACGAUUAAUAGAUACUAAUCUGGCUUGGCCACUGCGGUGUGUCAAAAAGAUGGCGGCAUGGUUUCUUCCAAAGAGCCACGUGAGUCCUUCUUCAUCUUUUCUUCCUUGAUAUAUAUAUAUAUACAUCAUGCUUCUUUAACUCAAAAAAAUCUCCAUGAGAAAGAAUAUAGCAUUCACUUGAUAUAUAUAUAUAUAUAUAUAUAUAUAUAUAUGGCACUUGAAGAGAUUAAGGGUAUAUUGAUUCCUUUGGAAGUCAUAUAAUUUUGGUAAAAGAACUUUAUGGUUUUAGUAAAUCAGAUAUGUGCAUGGCAAUAUGAUAAACAACAAAUACAGAUUGUAACCAAAAUUAAGGUUUCAAUUAUUGAGUCACUGUGAGGUACUUGUGAGGAAGGCCUCCCAUCUUGACAUGACCAUGGCAUGGAGUUUCUCAUGCUUCUCAUGUUUCUUCUUCUUCUUCUUUGCGAACCCUCGUAAUGGAGUGAGACAAUUCCACACACAUCAAAAGUUCACUGCAACAGUGCCAUUUGCUCGUGCAAGCAGUAAACAAUGACUGGUUGUCUCCGUUCGAAUCUUGUCUCAUCCUUUGGGCGACCGGUAGGGAUGGAUUAUGGCCCUUUCCUUGAAGAAGUCAUAAAGUAAUGCCACCACUAACUACUCCUUAAUCUCACCCAAAACAAAGAUUCUUCUCAGCAUGUUUCUCAUGUUGAAAUUAUCCAUCCUCAAUGAAUCCAACAGACUCUCAAAAUUCAAAUAUAAAACAUAAAAAAUAAAAGAGAUAAUGAUUUCAGCUAAUUAGCUUUUAAUUGGAACACAAAAUAAGGUUAAGACAUAAUUUUAGCUUUGAUAUUAAAAGGAUAAAAAUUGAUCGAUGUUCUAUCCGAAAUAUUAGAACUAUAGGUUUAUUAUAUAUGAUAAUAUAUUCUCAUAAUUAAUUCAAUGGUUGUGAAUGAAGGAUUAAGAUAGAAAAUUGGGGGAUCCUCGGCUGUGAAUGGUUGUGAAUGAAGGUACAACCUUCAUUCACAACCUUCAUUCAAUGGUUGUGAAUGAAGGUUGUACCUAUCGAUCGGAGAUGAUAGAGAGUCCAUUCGGCUGCCCAAUUAUUUGGCCCACAAUCAACAAUAUUGCCGCUAUUUCUUGCGUGAAUCCUCGGCUAACAGACACAACCUUCCAUUGUAUCAUCACAACUAGUCGUGCAACAAUCAAAAUCAACUCCAUUUGAGUAGUUGAUUGCCACUAUUUGUAAAUCUUUAUGUCGUGGUCAAGGUGUCAGCAUAGUUUAGUUCAAUCCCAAAUGUACAAAGUCAUCUACGUGAAGGCUCGAGCGGAGGAAGUGGAUGUGAGGUCUAGUUGAGCUCGAGCGUCGUCACUUGCUUCGUUGUCGUACACAUAGGUCGAAAUCGGGAGGAGAAUUUUCUGACUCGACCCUUCCGAACUUUAAGUUAGUACCAAGGGGGUAGGAGUGAGCCGAAUGCUUCUAGCCUCCCCUUACUGAUUUUGAUCAUAGGGUUUUUAUAUUUGUGAAGGAGGGUCGAUCGUAUGUAAUAUGAUGAUGGCAAUCAGCUCCUUGGGCAGCUGGCUUGUACCUCUGUGCGAGCGCCGAUCGAUCCACACAGAUCAAUGCCACACGAUACUGCUCCGAACUUUCCGGAACGACGUUGCUAUGUACAGCUUCGGAUGGUCCGGGAAGAGGUAGACGCCCUCUCGAGUCCGAGAUAUCACAUCGACACGAUACUCCACCUCAACCUUGAGGCUUCAUGUUCGUGCUGACAUGUUUGCUUACUGUGGCCAUUGGGGCAAUACCAGAAUAUGUCCUAUUUGAGGCUUCAUCUCUUUGUACAUAAUAGAGAUGAUUUGCUCCACAUCGAAAUAUAUUUACUGAUCAGACUUUGAAGACUGCAUAGCUAAUUAGUUGUGUUUACUUCUUUUUAAAAUCAUGGGUGUUGGUUAAUGUGACACAUCAUGGGGACUUCUGCAUGGGAGAAUCUAGCUACAGGAAAAAUUAAUAAUGAGAACAAACAUAGGGUAGCAAAUUAUAUAAUUGGAGUUAUUUAGAUGUUUCUAUCGAUGUUAUCACAGGGUUUAGGUCAACUGUUUGGUUGACACAUUUGCUGUGUGGUUGGGGUCUGCAUAUAAUGCAUUCCAUGGGCUUGUGAUCAAUUUUGAUAAUGGGUAGUUAUUAACUUAUUAUUUCCUAACCAUUGUUUAGUUUGGUCUAAUAGCCAUUAGGUUAUUUUGUACUGAUAACUAACAUAGUUUGGCUUCUGUGAUGAUUAUUCUAGUACAUAACUGGAAAUUUUAUGUUACUGUCUUUUUUAAUGGGGAAAAGGUGGUAGUGUUGCUUGCUUUGUUGUCUUUAGCUUUUUAUGCUAUUUGAAACAUUGCAGUAUUAUUAUGUGGUCAGCAAAAUGUUCUACAGGACCAUUUGGAACAUUGAAACCAUUGCUUCCUUUUCUUUCUCUGUACAUUAUUUGAAGCAGAUUUGCAUAGAUCGUUUUGAGGUAAAUAUUGCAGUAUUUCUUUGAGUGGAACUGCUAAGCAGUCAGUCAAACAAAUUAGAACUAUGUAAAGUCAAGUGAUACAUCUUAUCAGGCUUACAACAUACAUGUGAUGGAUUAAUAUAGAUGUCAUAGAUCCAGUUACCAUCAAUAGGAAGUGCCACACCAACAUACUCUAUCAUGUCAAACUUUCUUAUGACAGUAUAAAUUUGCACAAAAGUAAUCACCAUCAAGAUUGGAGUUCUUUUGUUGAGAGUAUCUAUUAUCUCUACAGUUUGAGGCCUGACUGGAUGUUUGUUUGCAGCAGAGCAUCUGCACAAAAAUGUCAACUCAAGAUUGCUCCCAGAAGAACAAGUCAUGCCAGCACCUGGAUCUCCACAAUGCUUAGUAUGCAUGGCAGCUACAAUCAUCAUGGAAAUCUGCUUCAACCAGCAUCGCAAACUUCAAAAGCAGAAGGCUUGAUCCUUAAUAUUUCUAACACCCACGGUUAACCAGCAUUUGUACCCUCAUUCAUGUAUGCAUAAUUACCUGGGCCUUUUCCAUGCUUCUGUCUUCCUUCCUCUCUCCAAGCACGGGCUAUGUAGAUGAGAAUAAUUCCUCCCUGCAAGGACUGGGACAGAUAAAGUCACAGGAGAAGUAGGUGGAAAGUAAAAUAAUUGCUGAUGAGUGAUGUGUUCCUUCCACAAAGUUACUUUUAAAGCUCUGCUUCAGAAGACUGGGCCAUUUUCCAGUGGGUGCAUGCAAUGCGAAAGAAGAGCAAAAUUUCAUGGACACACUGUUCCUCCCAGAAAAGGAUUGGUAGGCGUUUCAGGCUCCAAUAUGACCUCCUUUUAGAGGUGGAUGUAAAGAAUAAGGACUGUUUAUUUCGCAGCCUUUUAAUUCCUCUAUCCCUCACCUUUAUGGUUUGUUCUCUGUGCAGUCAAAACAGCCAAUAAGUUUUGUACAAUAAUGACUUUGGAUGGCCACCUCUCCGACAGGUUAUGAUAACAAAUCACGGUGUUGGGAGGAACAGGGUGACCUGCCCUUGCUUCUCUCCCGCACAUCUGGACAAAGCUCUGCCCUUGCUUCUCUCUCUCUCUCUCUCUCUCUCUCUCUCUCUCUCUCUCUCUUGCUUCAGUCAUUUCCACGCUUCAAUCCAACAAUUGUAUAUAAGCAGACCGCUCCUUUUCCAUCCAAUGUGCACAACAAGAGGUACAAAAACAGUAGGAAGAUGGCUUUGUCUUCUUCUCAUCACAUCCUGUUGCUGAGCUUUUUGCUGUCAUGUUAUGUUCCACUCGGCCUUGCUCGCAGACAUUGGCCUGUAGGAGGAUCCACCAGGUUCUACGACUUCAAGGUCUCCGUUCUUAUCUUUGUCUGCAUGCGCACAUAUGUCUCUGUUCUUAGUUUGCAGGCUUUUCAUUGAGGAUAUGUUGCGUAAGUUUUUAGAGGACAGAGAGAUAGAGAGAUUUAGUCAUUUGUAGAAUCUCCUUUAUUGCAUGGAGUAUUAGAACGAAGGGUCGUUUCUUUGUGAAGUUGAGAUUGAUAUCAAAGCUUGUCAUGGAAAUCUGCUUGUUUGAUGGCUGGACUGUGUGUGAAUGUUAUGCGCGCAGGUGCAAACGACGAGGGUCACGAAGCUGUGCAAGACCAAGGACAUCGUCACCGUCAAUGGUAUGUUCCCCGGCCCGGUCAUUUACGCCCAGGAAGAUGAUCGGAUCAUCGUCACGGUCACGAACGAGAGCCCGCACAACGCCACCAUCCACUGGUAAUAAUCUUGCCACCCGGCUCAUUUUACUGCAUGUCUACGCUGCUCAUGCGGUACCAAACUCACAGCGCAUGCCGAGAACUAAUCAUGGCGUCCUCUCCAUCUGUGCAUUGUAGGCAUGGAGUGCGGCAGAGGUUGUCGUGCUGGGCGGACGGGCCGUCCUACAUCACCCAAUGCCCGAUCCAGGCUGGGCAGAGCUUCACCUACGAGUUCACCCUGUUCCAGCAGAAGGGGACGCUGUUCUGGCACGCGCAUAUCUCAUGGCUCCGCGCCACCGUCAACGGCGCCAUCGUCAUCUACCCCAAGACCAGCGUCCCCUACCCCUUUCCCUACCCUUACGAGGAGCACGUCCUCAUCUUUGGUAAUGUCGUUUCCCUUCCCAUGAGCUUCGAGGAGAGAUGGUUCGAGGUUUUGCUGAAGCUGCAAAGCUCGUCUCAGGGGAAUACUGGCACAAGGAUAUGCUGCAGCUGGAGAAAGAGGUGGUCGCCAGCGGCGGCGGCCCUCCACCUGCGGAGGCGUACCUCAUCAACAGCCACCCUGGGCCGCGUUACAACUGCUCGGCUACUGGUAGCCUACCCUGCUCUCGCUGCUACCAUUGCUUCUUGUUGGUGAUUGUCACACGACUGGUUUCUUGUCUCCAGAUGUGUACAAGAUCGACGUCGUCCCCGGCAAGACGUACCUGCUGCGGCUGAUAAGCGCGUCCCUGAACAUGGAGCACUUCUUCGCCAUCGCCGGCCACAAGCUGACCAUCGUGGAGGCCGACGCCGAGUACACCAAGCCGUUCACCGUCGACCGCCUCAUGAUCACUCCGGGGCAGACCAUCAACGUCCUCGUCAAGGCCGACCAGCCCAUCGACCGGUACGACAUGGCGAUGGGGCCGUACAUGUCCGCUCAGAACGUCACCUUCCAAAACAUCUCCGCCAUUGCCCACUUCCAGUACACCGGAGCCACGCUCGACGACCUCAGCCUCCCCGCCCAGCUCCCCGUCUACAACGACAACCUCGUCGUCAACACCAACCUGCACAUGCUCCGGAGCCUCAACGCCACCAACCUCCCCUCCGAGAUCGACGCCAACCUCUUCUUCACCGUCGGCUUGAACGUGGAGGAAUGCCACUCCUCCAACCCCAACAAGAGCUGCCAGGGACCCAGCGGCGGCGUCUUCGCGGCGUCGAUGAACAACGUCAGUUUCGUCAAGCCUAACAUCUCGCUCCUCCAGGCCUACUACAACAACAUCAAUGGUCUGUACACGGACGACUUCCCCGGCGUGCCGCUCAAGACCUACGACUUCGUCAAUGGCGCGCCCAACAAUAUCCCCAACGACACCCAGUCCCUGAUCGGGACCAAAGUGAAGGUCCUCGAGUACGGGAGCAGGGUGCAGCUCAUCUUGCAGAACACCGGCACCGUGACGACCGAGAACCACCCUAUCCAUCUCCAUGGCUACAACUUCUAUGUUGUGGGCUACGGAACAGGGAACUACAACCCCAUGGGUGCGAAGCUCAACCUGGUUGAUCCGCCAUACAUGAACACCAUCGGAGUGCCGGUCGGAGGAUGGGCCGCCAUCCGGUUCGUCGCCGACAAUCCAGGUACUACUGACCUCUCUCAGUAUCAUCGUCCUAACACCCACUAAAUUCUCGUAGACACAGCCUCUUAGAACACGCGUCAUGCACGCUGCAUGCAGGUGUGUGGUUCAUGCACUGCCAUUUUGAUGUGCACCUGACCUGGGGCCUGUCGAUGGCGUUCAUCGUGAAGAACGGCGAGGGGCCCCUGGAGACUCUUCCCCAUCCUCCGGCCGACUUGCCUAGGUGUUGAUCUGCCACUUGGAAUCAUCAUCACCAACUGCUGUGCCGUGCAUCUUCUCAUGUGUUCUGAUGUGUCAUACCUCGAAAGCACUUUGAUUUCAUUCUUUCAAGCAGCUUCCGUCCAUGUGAAGUUUUCCCCAAAUCAAAAAGGAUGUCCAAUAAACACAUCAAUGGAUGCAUAGGUGCGUGCGCCCGCAUUAUACUUGUAAUCAAAUCACAUUUGGUUGUAUCAGAAAGGUGUGGAAAGAGGUCACCUUAUGGUUGUUCUCGAAAUCUAUAUUGCUCUGUUCUCGCAUCAAUUUUGUGCUGACAUUAAUGUCCAUCACAAAGGCAUUUGACAGGUUUAUCCAUCAUACUAAGAAUUAUCUGGAUCGUGCAACCUAAACUUUUUAUUUAGCGAGAUAUAAUCUUCAACGAAAAGCAAAAUUCUGUGUAAUUAAGCAAUAAGUCAAACACAAAUAUCCUAUACUUCAUUUGCUUUAAGAGAUUCUCACUUUUCCUAAACCAUGUUAGACUCAUUCUAUGAUAAAUAAACAAAGAUGACUUGGGUGCGAGGUCUCAGCAAGUGGAGCCAUCUGAAUCGUGAUUGACAGAAUUAGACUAUGGUUGUGUUUCAGUCCUAUGUAGCAAUGGAUCAUUUUGGAGGCAGUAGCAGGUUUUGGAAAGAAAAAGACCAAAACAUCAAUGAAAUGAGGUCACCAGUUUAACUUUUCCAAGCAUCCAUAAAUCAAGAUGAAUACAAAGUUUACCAGAAAGAACCCUUCAAACACAUGCAAAGCCUACCGUGAGUAGUUACAAGAGGAGCAAAUUCUAGAAGAUGAACACCCCAAUUCAGACCUCAGGACAAGGUUCAACCCACCAUGACCAACCAUAGCAAUUCAAUCAGAUAGGAAAUACUUGAAAGAAUCUAUAUAAUUGAAUGAGUAUCCUCUAUCCGAAAGUACAAGUUAACCCUCACCCAGCUCAUCUGCCGGUUGCCGCCUUAGACAAUGGGGAUGCUUUACACCAAUAUUGCCAAAUGUUUUUAUGACAUAUCAGGAAACCCAAAGGUGUCCAAAGCUGAUACAAGAAAAAAUACCAAAUCCAAAAAUCUCACCUACACUGCACAAAUGUACAAAGAAUUCAAGCCUUAUCCGCCUAGCUUGAUCUUUUGAUGGCGUCAAUAUCUCUGUGUCCUACCAGCUUAUGUAUAAUUCUGAUCCAUGUAGAAUUGGCAGAAGCACUGGAGAUGUGUUCCUUUGUAUGUUCUACUUACAUAAUAGAGCGGUGUGAAAGAGGUACUGCCAAAAGCAUAUAUAGUGGUACUAUGGCAAAAAGAAGAUACGACCAUGUGCAGGCCAAACUAAUCAUAGAUGUUGUGGUAAUCCAUAAUUCUGGUAAGAUCUGAUCCAUCCAUCUGAUCCAGCAGCAACUAUAACCUGACCCCAGGCAUGUGAGGUGGUCUGGCGAAAAGUCUUCAGGGACUUGUAGUGGGACUUGUAGAAGGUAGAUGCAACAAAGUUUGAGGGAAGUUUCUCCUCCGGCCAAGUUGCAGAGCUCUUCCGCAGAGACUCCAAGAACUCAUGGCUCAGAGAGAAACAACUGGAAGGCGAUAAAUUCAAGGUGUAUUUACCAAUCAAAUCUUUUAUAUGACAAUUAAAGUCAUAUCCUAUGAGCCCAGCAUUCUCCCUGAAGACAUCCUUUUGCAAAUGGGGGACCUCAGAGGUGUUUGUUCCUGAUUUUCUGCACUGCAGACCACACCAGGGUAUCACAAUAGAUGCAUUGCUCGAAAUGAAGCGCUCACUAGACCAGGUGCUCUUCACGUGGUGAGAUGUGGGUGCCACAUCGCUAGCAUGAUGGCUCCACAUGUAGACAUUGGAGUCUUCACUGGCAGAAAAGAUAUGCUGUCCAUCUGCAGUGAAGGAUGCAGAGACCUGACUUCCAGAGUUCUGGAUACCUGUGAAUAGCAAUUAUACGAGACACAUAAGGACUAUUGGUCUGCGAAUGAAUGUCCUGGAAUAAAUGGAUCAUACUAAUAGGGCAAGAUUUCAUACACUUGAAUUUCGAAACCACAUCAAUGCCAUCAAAAAUUCGGAUUUGUGAGUCAGCAGAAGAUACCAUCAGUUUGUGAGGAUUGCUUGGGCAAAACUGGAGAUGGAACCAAAAGUUGUAAGAAGAUAGAAAUGGUAAUAGACAAACAGCAUACAUGAAGUUGGCAAAUACAGAUAUGAAAUAUCAACCAUAUAGGGGUCACUUCUGCAGAAAGUUACCUGAAAUCCUGUUAUCCUUUUUGAGGACUUCUUUUUGCCCUGCAAGGAGACCUGAGCAUCUAGCUGCAGAUGAUUAUCUGAUCCAUGCAGAAAAACAGCAAUAAGUAACAUAUACAAUCCUGUGAGGUAACGAGAUAAACUGUAGCAAGAUUUCUCAUUAUUACAAAUAAUGACGAAAACUCCAAACUCAAAUCCAUUCAAUGGAGCAACAGAGUCAGAAAGAGUGCGAUGUAUUGGUCUGCAGGAUUUAUUGGAGCUAAGUACAUAUCCAGAAAGUGUAUCAAGCAUCCGUGAAGGGAAUAAAAACAUACAUAUGAAAGUGAUCAACAUGGUAAAGAAGACUUAGUUCUCAGUCUAGGUGAAUAAGAAUGUAGUCUUUUUAUGAGGAUCACGGUAUUCCACUAUGUAUAAAGAUGUCAACAAGAAAAAAAAAACACUAUCAUGUUAGAAGAUUCACAUUUACCUGAUGCAUCAUAAAAGCGGCAAUUGCCUGCCAAGGUGCCAAUAACUGCUCCCUGCACAAAAGGAAAACAUUUUUUUUAUAGAAAGUCUCACAAUGACAAAACUCUUUAAGAACAACUACAAAGAACAAUAUCAACACACCUUUCCAUCAGGACGGUAGCAAACUGCAGUGACUAUUUCUCUAGUAUCAACCCAACCCACAACACGACAUACUGAAAUUUCCCAUAUACGAACUUUACCAUCAACGGAGCCACUGAUGAAGUAGGCCUCAUUUACAGGAUUAAACUGCACACAUGUCACUGCAUAAUUCAUCGGAUGAUGCAAAAGAACUUGUGAGACCAACGAACUGACUGGAGCUAAAAUUAUGUGAAUGACAGAUAAUGGCAACAUAACAACAUCAAAGGGAAUUACCUACCGUAAUCAUUGUGAGGGAAUAUUUUGACACAGUCUUCGGAACCAACUUGCCACAUGCGAACAGUUUUGUCCAUAGAUGAUGAUAGUAAGCACUGACAAAAGCAUAAAUCUCACAAUCAGAAAAAGAUUCGUGCAAUACUAAAAGUCUAUAUCAAUAAAUUAUCCUUCAGUAUAGAAGCAAAGUGUAAAAAUGUUAACUGACCUUAUUAUUUGACCAUGAAAUAUCCAAAACAUCCCCAUCAUGCCCAUGGAACUCAUGAAGUGGUUCCUCAGACAACUGAAAAGCUUCAGGAGGAAUGACAACACACACUGGAUCUGAAGUUAUUCUUGUGCUUCUGGACUUCAAUUUUUUCUCUUCGUCAACAUAGAGAGGAGUUAACUCAGAAGUGUCAUUCACUGUGAAGAAUAUGCAUGAAGGAUCAUCUCCAAGAAUGUCUUUUUCAUCUGUUCUUUCACAUUCCGUUACAUACCACACACGCACAACUCCAUCUUCACCUCCGGUAGCUAAAUACUGACCAUCGGGGCUAAACUUCAUGGUUAAGAUGGCACCAUUAUGGGCUUUGAAAUCUUGCCGCUUGUAGACUGCAGAUAAUUCCUUUGAUCGCUUCUUGUAAGGGUGGACUUUGACCCUUUGAGUCUUAGUACUUCCACCCCUGCAAAAGUUAGAAAAAUUGGAACUACACUUGUCCCCUUGCCUAUCCAACAUGCAAGCAGCAGCACCCAAUCUUCUGAGCCAUCCAAUCUUUGUCCUUUCUACUGACUUCUUAGAUAUGAUUGAUGCAUCAUCUUCUUUCCUCAUAAGCUGCUGGGUCAAGGAUGAUGGACCAAAAUUUCUCUCAAGUUCAUGAAGUGUUGAACUCCUAUUAUAACCAACUUCAUGAAGGCUUCUUAAGCUACCAUCUUUGCCUAAAUUAUUCGCACUGCAUGAUGCACCCAUCUCCUCAUUGGACAAGCUGGACAUAGAACAAUUGCCCCCUGAACAAGGGCUUCUUAGCACAGCACCACAGUCUGACAUGACUCUACCAAUAUCCGGCUCAAUAUCACCAUCCACCUUUAGCUCUUCAUCAGGACUAUCUGAUUCUUCAGGGGAGCUGUUCAUCAUAUCCACACCAAAAAUUUUCAUGAACUUGUCCCGCCGUUCCCUCACGCUGACAGGAUCCUUGAUCCAGACCUGGGGAAGAACCCGUGGCCAACUGAUGAAUUGGUCUUCAGGGAACAAACCAUUAUCCGCCAGGCUUCCGGGACACGAAUCGGAGACAGACGAGACGUAGUCUCUCGAGUCGAAGAACACUUCAUCCUCUUCUUCUUGUAAGGUGAAAUCUUGA
RNAcentral lists this long non-coding RNA (21042 nucleotides) under Musa acuminata (dwarf banana). Its description in RNAcentral is "long non-coding RNA (MACU_LNC002589)". Lineage: Eukaryota; Viridiplantae; Streptophyta; Magnoliopsida; Zingiberales; Musaceae. The record is from RNAcentral.